This 557-nucleotide ribosomal RNA is filed under the name uncultured archaeon. RNAcentral's name for it is "bacterial SSU rRNA". It matches the Rfam family "Archaeal small subunit ribosomal RNA", at positions 267 to 824 of the family's 1478-position model. The record is from RNAcentral.
GUACGGGUUGUGAGAGCAAGAGCCCGGAGAUGGAUUCUGAGACACGAAUCCAGGCCCUACGGGGUGCAGCAGGCGCGAAAACUUUACAAUGCUGGCAACAGCGAUAAGGGAACCUCGAGUGCCAGGUUACAAAUCUGGCUGUCGAGAUGCCUAAAAAGCAUUUCAUAGCAAGGGCCGGGCAAGGCCGGUGCCAGCCGCCGCGGUAACACCGGCGGCUCGAGUGGUAACCGUUAUUAUUGGGUCUAAAGGGUCUGUAGCCGGCCGGAUAAGUCUCUUGAGAAAUCUGGCAGCUUAACUGUCAGGCUUUCAGGAGAUACUGUCUGGCUCGAGGCCGGGAGAGGUGAGAGGUACUUCAGGGGUAGGGGUGAAAUCUUGUAAUCCUUGAAGGACCACCAGUGGCGAAGGCGUCUCACCAGAACGGACCUGACGGCAAGGGACGAAAGCUAGGGGCACGAACCGGAUUAGAUACCCGGGUAGUCCUAGCCGUAAACGAUACUCGCUAGGUGUCGGCCACGGUGCGACCGUUGUCGGUGCCGUAGGGAAGCCGUGAAGCGAGC